CGUGUAGAACUAGCUGGUGCCAUGACUUCGGGUUUCUUCUCACUUUCUACUGAAGAGGUGAAGAGCUCCACUACUGCUCACCUAAAAUGAAGAUGCAGGGAAAACCAAGAAAGCUGGAGACUGAGUGACCCCCACAAUCUGAAAUUCUAUCAUCACAGUAAUGAACAAAACGGAGCACAUGGCAGAUGCCUGCUGAGGGGAAUCCAGCGGCCAAACUGUGGGCACUCAUACAGCCCUAUGAAGAGGUCCACAUGGCAAAGAACUGUGGCUCCCUAUCAACAGGCAGCAUUAACUUGCCAGCCAAGAAGAGAACUGAAUAGAAGGCUACUGAACCAAGAGAUAAUCACCUGUAUUUGAGACAAAACAUCCAGUAGCAGUAUCAAGACAAAUGGGGAGAAACCUAAAGAUAGGUAGAACAUUUAAACAAUGACCACAAUAGUCUGGUGAAGAUGACAGAAGAACCUGAGCCAAAGCUUUAAAAAAAUGGAACAGAAAAAACAGCUAUGGAUUUAGAAAUAAACUAGUUGUGGAAGCUGACAGAAAAAGAAAUGAGUUUAAUAAGACUGACUUAAUGAAAAGAUGGUGUGAAAGCUCAGGUCAUGAUCCCUGGUUUCAUGAGAUCGACCCCCACAUCGCGCUCUGUCCUGACAGCGUGGAGCCUGC
This is a long non-coding RNA of Hyaena hyaena (striped hyena), 663 nucleotides long. RefSeq lists it as uncharacterized. Lineage: Eukaryota; Metazoa; Chordata; Mammalia; Carnivora; Hyaenidae. The transcript is spliced from 5 exons. The record is from RefSeq and is a predicted model, not a curated record.